CGCAUCUGUGCAUGCAGCAUAUCAAUAAGCGGAGGAAAAGAAACUAACAAGGAUUCCCUUAGUAACGGCGAGUGAAGCGGGAAGAGCUCAAAUUUGAAAUCUUCAAGGUUUUACCUUGACGAAUUGUAGUUUAAAGAAGUGUUUUCUGUUGAAGUUUUGGUAAAAGUUCUUUGGAAUAGGACAUCAUAGAGGGUGAGAAUCCCGUAUUUGACCAUUAUUUUCAGCUGUGUGAUACACUUUCAAAGAGUCGGAUUGUUUGGGAAUGCAGUCCAAAAUGGGUGGUAAAUUUCAUCUAAAGCUAAAUAUUGGCGAGAGACCGAUAGCGAACAAGUACCGUGAGGGAAAGAUGAAAAGAACUUUGAAAAGAGAGUUAAACAGUACGUGAAAUUGUCAAAAGGGAAGCGUUUGACACCAGUGUUGUUUUCUCGAAAAUCAAUUAAAAAGAGUUUGAUUUUGUUGUGUAUUGACCUUAACAGCUUGCAUUUCAAUUUUCUUGCUUUUUUUAAUGCACUUUUCGUUUAACAAGUCAACAUCAGUUUCUUUUGUUGUAAAAUGGUCAUUGGAAGGUGGCUUUCUUUUCGGAGAAAGUGUUUAUAGCCUUUGACUCCUGCAAUCGGAGAGACUGAGGUCUGCAGCGUAGAUCCUUCGGGGUUAGAUACAUUUGUGCUAAGUUAUAGCUUUUUAUAGACAACUUGUUGACUAUGAUUAGUCUUGUAGCUUACUCGCUUAUGCUAUUUUACCUACGCUUAGGAUGUUGACGCGCGUGUGUGCGUG
This 774-nucleotide ribosomal RNA is filed under the name uncultured Neocallimastigales. Its description in RNAcentral is "partial large subunit ribosomal RNA". It matches the Rfam family "Eukaryotic large subunit ribosomal RNA", at positions 26 to 639 of the family's 3401-position model. The record is from RNAcentral. Lineage: Eukaryota; Fungi; Neocallimastigomycota; Neocallimastigomycetes; Neocallimastigales.